RNAcentral lists this long non-coding RNA (1046 nucleotides) under Malus domestica (apple). RNAcentral describes it as "long non-coding RNA (MDOM_LNC010862)". Lineage: Eukaryota; Viridiplantae; Streptophyta; Magnoliopsida; Rosales; Rosaceae. The record is from RNAcentral.
GUGGGGUUUUGGUGAUAAAAAAUGAGGUGGAGAACGGCGAGGUUUAGCGGUAGAGGAUGAAGUGAGAGUGGGUGAGUGGACUCACCAACGACUCGGCACUGAUCGUAGUAGGCGGAUCGUCUGGAGCGGGUGACUCUUCGUCCACCACGUCCAAGGGAAGCACGGCCGUCGGGUCGCCAGCUUGUCGCUUGCAGUGUCGUCGGCGGUCGGGUCUUCUCUCAGUUCUCUCUCCAGAUCGAAUCAUGCGGCUAUCGGGUCAUCUCUCAAAUAUGGAUCAUACGACUAUCUGGUGUAGAGGUCUGCAACUAUGGCAGCGGAUGUCGUCGGAAGUAAAGAGAGAGGAUCGAAGAGAAAGAGGGGGCUAUGGAGUGAAUUUCAUUAAUUUUGGGCCCAAAUUGUAAAUUUUUAUUUUAUUUUAUAAUACUUUUUAUUAUUUUCAAAUAUUUAUAAAUAAUAACAAUUUUUAAUUAGAUUUUUUUCAUGUGGUUUAAACUUGACAUCUAUAUGAACAAAAUUGUGGGCUUCACAGUUGUCAUAUCAUCAUUUAACAAAUAAAUUAAUAUAAAAUUUAACGGAUGUGUGACAUUGCAAUGAAUUUCUAAGAUGAAGUAUGAUAUUACAAUGUUUAAAAAAAAUGAGAUAUGAGUUUGUUAUGUGACCUAAAGUCGAUGUGGUAAAAUAUAAUUUACCCUAAAAAAAUUGAUCAAACAUAUCCUCAUCAUCCAGACAAUAAUGAUAUCCUCAUCAUAAGAUAGUGGCGUAUUUGUGUGGCUCAUUCGUAUGUUUGUGAGAGUCAAUUUAUGAAUUGUGAGUUAGAGAGCAAUUUGAGAGAGUAUUCUCAGUUUGUUUGGGUUCUUUACUUGUUUGGUUUUGUUAGGUUCUGUAAUUUGUGAGAUUUGGAUUUGGGAGAGUUUAAACAUUUUUUUCUAAUCUUCGUUUGUUUAAUGGAAUUUCCUCAUCGUGCUUUGCUCAUGGAUGCAAACUUUACACCAAACUAUGUAAAUCUCUUCUGUUCAGUUUAAGAUUGCUUGUUUUAAUUAGUUUUU